RNAcentral lists this ribosomal RNA (740 nucleotides) under uncultured Mesorhizobium sp. RNAcentral's name for it is "bacterial SSU rRNA". It matches the Rfam family "Bacterial small subunit ribosomal RNA", at positions 8 to 796 of the family's 1533-position model. Lineage: Bacteria; Pseudomonadati; Pseudomonadota; Alphaproteobacteria; Hyphomicrobiales; Phyllobacteriaceae. The record is from RNAcentral.
AGAGUUUGAUCCUGGCUCAGGACGAACGCUGGCGGCGUGCUUAACACAUGCAAGUCGAGCGCCCCGCAAGGGGAGCGGCAGACGGGUGAGUAACGCGUGGGAAUCUACCCAUCUCUACGGAACAACUCCGGGAAACUGGAGCUAAUACCGUAUACGUCCUUUUGGAGAAAGAUUUAUCGGAGAUGGAUGAGCCCGCGUUGGAUUAGCUAGUUGGUGGGGUAAUGGCCUACCAAGGCGACGAUCCAUAGCUGGUCUGAGAGGAUGAUCAGCCACAUUGGGACUGAGACACGGCCCAAACUCCUACGGGAGGCAGCAGUGGGGAAUAUUGGACAAUGGGCGCAAGCCUGAUCCAGCCAUGCCGCGUGAGUGAUGAAGGCCCUAGGGUUGUAAAGCUCUUUCAACGGUGAAGAUAAUGACGGUAACCGUAGAAGAAGCCCCGGCUAACUUCGUGCCAGCAGCCGCGGUAAUACGAAGGGGGCUAGCGUUGUUCGGAAUUACUGGGCGUAAAGCGCACGUAGGCGGAUAUUUAAGUCAGGGGUGAAAUCCCGGGGCUCAACCCCGGAACUGCCUUUGAUACUGGGUAUCUCGAGUCCGAGAGAGGUGAGUGGAAUUCCGAGUGUAGAGGUGAAAUUCGUAGAUAUUCGGAGGAACACCAGUGGCGAAGGCGGCUCACUGGCUCGGUACUGACGCUGAGGUGCGAAAGCGUGGGGAGCAAACAGGAUUAGAUACCCCAGUAGUCC